Molecule: ribosomal RNA, 253 nt
Filed under: uncultured bacterium
Lineage: Bacteria
Description: partial 16S ribosomal RNA
Rfam family: Bacterial small subunit ribosomal RNA
Source: RNAcentral
UACGGAGGGGGCUAGCGUUGUUCGGAAUUACUGGGCGUAAAGCGCGCGUAGGCGGCUUUGUAAGUUAGAGGUGAAAGCCCGGAGCUCAACUCUGGAAUUGCCUUUAAGACUGCAUCGCUAGAAUCAUGGAGAGGUUAGUGGAAUUCCGAGUGUAGAGGUGAAAUUCGUAGAUAUUCGGAAGAACACCAGUGGCGAAGGCGACUAACUGGACAUGUAUUGACGCUGAGGUGCGAAAGCGUGGGGAGCAAACAGG